Molecule: ribosomal RNA, 253 nt
Filed under: uncultured bacterium
Lineage: Bacteria
Description: partial 16S ribosomal RNA
Rfam family: Bacterial small subunit ribosomal RNA
Source: RNAcentral
AACGUAGGUGGCGAGCGUUAUCCGGAUUUACUGGGCGUAAAGGGUGUGCAGGCUGCCCCUCAAGUGGUGUAUGAAAGCACCCGGCUCAACCGGGUCAUGGUAUGCCAGACCGAAGGGCUAGAGAGCGAGAGCGGGACGUGGAAUUCCGGGUGUAGUGGUGAAAUGCGUAGAGAUCCGGAGGAACCCCAGAGGCGAAGGCGGCGUCCUGGCUCGCAUCUGACGCUCAGACACGACAGCAUGGGGAGCGAACGGG